Lagenorhynchus albirostris (white-beaked dolphin) is the source of this 2526-nucleotide long non-coding RNA. RefSeq lists it as uncharacterized. The record is from RefSeq and is a predicted model, not a curated record. The transcript is spliced from 3 exons. Lineage: Eukaryota; Metazoa; Chordata; Mammalia; Artiodactyla; Delphinidae.
AUGUGUAUACGUAUAGCUGAUUCACUUUGUUAUACAGCAGAAACCAACACAAACAUUACAACAUUGAAAAGCAAUUACACUCCAAUAAAGAUGUAAAAAAAAAAAAUGCUUUGCUGAAAACUUUCAGGGAGUUUGGGGUUUUUUGGGCAUGGGCCACCCAUCUCCUUGCGUGGCCCUCCAAUAAACCUUUCUCUGCUCCACCCUUCGACGUUUUGGUUUGUUUAGCCUCACUGUGUGUCGGGUGCAUGAACUUGCAUUCAGUAACAAUGGCUAAUAAGUGCAUGAAACGAUGUUAACAUUAGCCAUUAAGGAAAUGCAAACUGCAUCACUACACACCUAUGAGAUGGACUGAAAUUAAAAAAAGACAUCACCAAAUGCAAGUGAGGAUCACUGACAUGUUGCUGGUGGGAAUGGAAAAUUGUACAGCCACUCUAGAAGUUUGUUAUAAAACUAAACAUACAGUUACCAUACAAGCUAGCAAAAGCACGUUGGGCAUCUGUCCUAGAGAAACGAAAACGUAUGUUCACACAAAAACCUUAACCUCAAUUUUCAUAGCAAAUUUAUUUGUAGUAGCUGAAAUCUGAAAACAGCCUAGAUAUCCUUCAACAGGUGAAUGUUAAACAAACUGGGAUAUGGACACUGUGGAACACUACUCAGCAAUAAAAAAUAAGGAACUAGUGAUGCACAUAACAAUGUGAUGAAUCUCCAGGGAAUUCUGUUGAGUGAAUAAAGCCAAUCUCAAAAGAUUACAUUUAUAUUAGAUUUUUGGAAUGACAAAUUUCUAGAGAUAGAGAACAGAUUAGUGGUUGUCAGAGGUGGGGGGUGGAGUGGACGUGGCUAUAAAAGGGCAGCACAAGGUACUGUCUGUAUCUUGACAGUAGUGGUGGCCACAAGAAUUACACAAGUGAUAAAACUGCAAUGAACUCAACACACACACACACACACGCGCGCGCGCGCGCGCGAGUGCAUUAAAACUGGUGAAAUUUUGAAUAAGAUUUGUGGAUUGUAUCAUUGUCAAUUUCCUGGUUGUGAUAUUGUGCUAUAGUUAUGUAAGGUGUUACCAUUCGCUUGGUGAAAGGUGCAAGGGAUCUCUGCAUUAUUUCUUACAAUUGCAUGUUUAUCUAUAAUUAUCUCAAAACAAAAAGUUUUAACAGUGCCUGUAAAGCCCUCUUCCUCCAUCUCAUCCUCUAAUUUCCUUCUAUCUUCUUCAUCCUCCUCUCAUUUCCCCUCGCCCUCCUCCUCCUUUUUCUCCUUGUUAUUUCCAGGUAACAUUACAUUCUCAGCAGAAAAAUCUUUCCAUUACAGCGGAAAGAGAGUGAGUAAUCUAACAUUUACCACGGAAAUCCUGGAAAAUACCUGGCCCCCCACGGACACACAGAAGCCCUAAAGAGGGAGAGCAAAGGCCACUGUGUUAAAAUGUCUGAGGCAGGAGAAGAUGGUGGGAGGAAGCUGUCCAGUUCCUUCUAAAACUCAAUACUCUCACCCAGGUGAUUUGGUCAGGGUCCUCUCUUUUCCCAGUGAGUUCCUCCUCCUGUUACAGUUUCCACUUCUGCCCACACCCCAGGGCCAAGCUGCAGGAGCACAUAACAUUUACACUGACACUUUUAGGGUAAGUAGAUCUUAAUCAAGGUAAAGGGGACAAGGGGAAUCAGGUGGAGGGUAUCGAUAAGUGCUCUUUUGGUAACAGUGACAAUUCAAACUGGCUGAAGCAAAAGGGGGACUUGUUAUCUCACAUAACUGGGAAGCCCAGUGAUAACCUCAGGCACAGCUGGAUCUGGGGCUCCAACAAUGAUGUCAGGGCUCUCUUUAACUCCACCUGUUGGUUCUGCUUUCCUCUAUGCUGACUCCAUUCUCAGUGAAGGCCUUCUCAAGGAUGGUAAAAUCUCCACCAGCACAGCUCCAAACUCGGGUCCUCGUCCUCUGAGCAACCUCAGUGAAGUUCACAGGAAACAUCCUGACCAGGCCCACCCAGGAAUGGCUGCAGGAAAGAAGAAAUUAACACACCCCCACCAGAGUCUGACUGGAACCAGGAAACAAUGGCAACAACUUAUUGCCUUUUAAACUUUACUUCCUCACCUCCUCCUCUUUGUUCCAUAAGAGAAACUAACAUCCAAAGCUGGGCAAAAUGGUUCUUUGGGACACUGGUCCACCGUCUCCUCAGUCUGCUGGAUUUCCGAAUAAAGUCCUUAUUCCUUGCCCCAACACCUCGUCUCUAAUUUACUGGCCUGUCAUGUAGAGAGGAGUAUGAGCUUGGACUUGGUAACAAGAGGAAACACAAAGGGGGACCACCUCAUUCCAUGCCCUGUGGAUAUUAUGAUGAAGAAAUGUGCAGCUGCCACAUACUCCUCCGAGGAGUGGGGGACCCAGUGGCUUGGGAUCCAGACAAGAUAAUGUCAUGACUGAGAGGGAAGCCACUGUCACUACUGGUGACUCACCCACAUGCUCUUGAGGACAGAGCCAAGCACAUACUCAAGGAUGUGCCCUUCAGAUGACAUAGCCUUUGAAUAAGGUUAUUAAACACCUUCU